This 475-nucleotide ribosomal RNA is filed under the name uncultured Nitrosomonas sp. RNAcentral's name for it is "bacterial SSU rRNA". It matches the Rfam family "Bacterial small subunit ribosomal RNA", at positions 198 to 654 of the family's 1533-position model. Lineage: Bacteria; Pseudomonadati; Pseudomonadota; Betaproteobacteria; Nitrosomonadales; Nitrosomonadaceae. The record is from RNAcentral.
GGAGGAAAGUAGGGGAUCGAAAGACCUUAUGCUUUUGGAGCGGCCGAUGUCUGAUUAGCUAGUUGGUAGGGUAAUGGCUUACCAAGGCGACGAUCAGUAGUUGGUCUGAGAGGACGACCAGCCACACUGGGACUGAGACACGGCCCAGACUCCUACGGGAGGCAGCAGUGGGGAAUUUUGGACAAUGGGCGCAAGCCUGAUCCAGCAAUGCCGCGUGAGUGAAGAAGGCCUUCGGGUUGUAAAGCUCUUUCAGUUGAAAAGAAAAAGCCGUGACUAAUAAUCAUGGUUCAUGACGGUAUCAACAGAAGAAGCACCGGCUAACUACGUGCCAGCAGCCGCGGUAAUACGUAGGGUGCAAGCGUUAAUCGGAAUUACUGGGCGUAAAGGGUGCGCAGGCGGUUCUGUAAGUCAGAUGUGAAAUCCCCGGGCUUAACCUGGGAACUGCGUUUGAAACUACAAAGCUAGAAGGGCGAAU